UACGGAGGGGUUAGCGUUGUUCGGAAUUACUGGGCGUAAAGCGCACGUAGGCGGAUUGGAAAGUUGGGGUGAAAUCCCAGGGCUCAACCCUGGAACUGCCUCCAAAACUCCCAGUCUGGAGUUCGAGAGAGGUGAGUGGAAUUCCGAGUGUAGAGGUGAAAUUCGUAGAUAUUCGGAGGAACACCAGUGGCGAAGGCGGCUCACUGGCUCGAUACUGACGCUGAGGUGCGAAAGUGUGGGGAGCAAACAGG
RNAcentral lists this ribosomal RNA (251 nucleotides) under uncultured bacterium. RNAcentral describes it as "partial 16S ribosomal RNA". It matches the Rfam family "Bacterial small subunit ribosomal RNA", at positions 524 to 776 of the family's 1533-position model. The record is from RNAcentral.